Molecule: long non-coding RNA, 929 nt
Organism: Poeciliopsis prolifica (blackstripe livebearer)
Lineage: Eukaryota; Metazoa; Chordata; Actinopteri; Cyprinodontiformes; Poeciliidae
Exons: 4
Source: RefSeq, a predicted model, not a curated record
UUAUAAGCCGGGCUCCACUUGAAUGACCUAACAAGGGAUAACUGAGAGAAGCUGGAUUCACUGUGAAAGCUGACUCUCUGAGACAUAACAUUUAGAGGGUGCUGAGCAAAGAAGCCUGCCACAAAGAGAUAUGUACGCAAACCGAAAUGCAAAAAAGAAAAAAGAAAAAAAAAAUCGGCUGCUGUCGUACAGAGUCAUCGAAAAUACACGUUUGUUGCCCCUGUAAUUCCUCGCCGGAGCGAAGAGACGCCUCGUGUUAAGAGGCCAAGAAGACUGCUUCUGUUUUAUUGGCCUUAUUAAACGAUAUGCAUAAUGCCUUCCAGUUGUGCCUGAAGGAAGAGGUUUCUGCCUGGAAAGAGAAAUCGGAAGGAGCACGGUAACAUCUGGUAAAAUUACAGGACAACCAUUCAGAGGGGGGGACCUAGCUCCGCCUUCGAGGCUCAGCUCCUCCUCAAAGCUUCAGUUUCGAAGCUUACAAGCUUCUGCAUUACAGACGUAUACAGCAUUUCUAUACCAUCUGAAGCUAUGGGUUGGGGAGAUGCAUCAGCUCACACUGAGCCUCCGGGUUGGAUCAGGCUCUGCGGAGGAGAGGUGAGUUCGUCCGCCCCCGUUGAGCCUGCAAGGCACUCCAGCCUUCUCCAUCACCAUGCAGCUUGACCUGCUGCUUUUCUGGGAGACUAGCCGGACAGAGAGCCAACAUCUGACCAGUCGCACCUCCUUCAGUCUUACAGGAAGUCGACCACAUGUCUCUGCGGGGCUCACCGUCGCAUUAGUUGUCAUUCUCAGCAGGGCAGGCGCUGGGAACAGGCUGGAGAGCCGUGCGGUUAUUAAGGGACUCAGCUUGGCAUCACUGAACUCUUUGGCACCCUGCUGGAGAGGGGCUUAUGCUGAGCUGAUGGGUUUUGGGGAAGAGGUGUUGUGGGGAGUGU